AGGAGCCAUAGAUAACCUCCUU
RNAcentral lists this non-coding RNA (22 nucleotides) under Arabidopsis thaliana (thale cress). Lineage: Eukaryota; Viridiplantae; Streptophyta; Magnoliopsida; Brassicales; Brassicaceae. The record is from RNAcentral.